RNAcentral lists this ribosomal RNA (497 nucleotides) under uncultured bacterium. RNAcentral describes it as "partial 16S ribosomal RNA". It matches the Rfam family "Bacterial small subunit ribosomal RNA", at positions 28 to 507 of the family's 1533-position model. The record is from RNAcentral.
GAUGAACGCUGGCGGCGUGCCUAAUACAUGCAAGUCGAGCGAACAGACGAGGAGCUUGCUCCUCUGACGUUAGCGGCGGACGGGUGGGUAACACGUGGAUAACCUACCUAUAAGACUGGGAUAACUUCGGGAAACCGGAGCUAAUACCGGAUAAUAUAUUGAUCCGCAUGGUUCAAUAGUGAAAGACGGUUUUGCUGUCACUUAUAGAUGGAUCCGCGCCGCAUUAGCUAGUUGGUAAGGUAACGGCUUACCAAGGCAACGAUGCGUAGCCGACCUGAGAGGGUGAUCGGCCACACUGGAACUGAGACACGGUCCAGACUCCUACGGGAGGCAGCAGUAGGGAAUCUUCCGCAAUGGGCGAAAGCCUGACGGAGCAACGCCGCGUGAGUGAUGAAGGUCUUCGGAUCGUAAAACUCUGUUAUUAGGGAAGAACAAAUGUGUAAGUAACUAUGCACGUCUUGACGGUACCUAAUCAGAAAGCCACGGCUAACUACGUG